GAUGAACGCUGGCGGCGUGCUUAACACAUGCAAGUCGAACGAUGAAGCCCAGCUUGCUGGGUGGAUUAGUGGCGAACGGGUGAGUAACACGUGAGUAACCUGCCCUUAACUCUGGGAUAAGCCUGGGAAACUGGGUCUAAUACCGGAUAGGAGCGUCCACCGCAUGGUGGGUGUUGGAAAGAUUUAUCGGUUUUGGAUGGACUCGCGGCCUAUCAGCUUGUUGGUGAGGUAAUGGCUCACCAAGGCGACGACGGGUAGCCGGCCUGAGAGGGUGACCGGCCACACUGGGACUGAGACACGGCCCAGACUCCUACGGGAGGCAGCAGUGGGGAAUAUUGCACAAUGGGCGCAAGCCUGAUGCAGCGACGCCGCGUGAGGGAUGACGGCCUUCGGGUUGUAAACCUCUUUCAGUAGGGAAGAAGCGAAAGUGACGGUACCUGCAGUAGAAGCACCGGCUAACUACGUG
This 466-nucleotide ribosomal RNA is filed under the name uncultured bacterium. Its description in RNAcentral is "partial 16S ribosomal RNA". It matches the Rfam family "Bacterial small subunit ribosomal RNA", at positions 28 to 507 of the family's 1533-position model. The record is from RNAcentral.